Molecule: ribosomal RNA, 266 nt
Filed under: uncultured bacterium
Lineage: Bacteria
Description: partial 16S ribosomal RNA
Rfam family: Bacterial small subunit ribosomal RNA
Source: RNAcentral
CCGGCGACCGGCGCACGGGUGAGUAACACGUAUGGAACCUGCCCGCAGCAGGGGGAUAAGCGGAAGAAAUUCCGUCUAAUACCGCGUAACAACGUUGGGAGGCAUCUCCCGAUGUUUAAAGAUUUAUCGGCUGCGGAUGGCCAUGCGGCGCAUUAGCUAGUCGGCGGGGUAACGGCCCACCGAGGCGACGAUGCGUAGGGGUUCUGAGAGGAAGGUCCCCCACAUUGGAACUGAGACACGGUCCAAACUCCUACGGAAGGCAGCAG